RNAcentral lists this ribosomal RNA (341 nucleotides) under uncultured bacterium. RNAcentral describes it as "bacterial SSU rRNA". It matches the Rfam family "Bacterial small subunit ribosomal RNA", at positions 29 to 372 of the family's 1533-position model. The record is from RNAcentral.
AUUGAACGCUGGCGGCAUGCCUUACACAUGCAAGUCGAGCGGCAGCGCGGGGGCAACCCUGGCGGCGAGCGGCGGACGGGUGAGUAAUACAUCGGAACGUGUCCUUUCGUGGGGGAUAACCAGUCGAAAGACUGGCUAAUACCGCAUGAGAUCUCACGAUGAAAGCGAGGGACCGCAAGGCCUCGCGCGAUUGGAGCGGCCGAUGUCGGAUUAGCAGUUGGCGGGGUAAAAGCCCACCAAGGCUACGAUCCGUAGCUGGUUUGAGAGAACGACCAGCCACACUGGGACUGAGACACGGCCCAGACUCCUACGGGAGGCAGCAGUGGGGAAUUUUGGACAAU